CUGAACACAACAAGCGCUAAAGGGAACUGAAACAGAAACCACAAUAGGGCAGGGAGUUAAGGGAGAGGUAAGUAUAAAUACCCUGAACUUUACUUUGAUUGACCCCUGUCAUAUCCACGCCCCCAAAAUGUGAGUGUCUGGGGAAUGUGGGAUGACAGGAGCCAAUGGGAGCACAUUUCAUCUUUUGGCUCCCACUGCCCCUUUAAGAGCGUG
Non-coding RNA from Pelobates cultripes (western spadefoot toad), 213 nucleotides. The record is from the annotation of a GenBank genome assembly. NCBI's taxonomy places the organism in Eukaryota, Metazoa, Chordata, Amphibia, Anura, Pelobatidae.